RNAcentral lists this ribosomal RNA (541 nucleotides) under Fusarium sp. CPK3466. RNAcentral describes it as "eukaryotic LSU rRNA". The stretch from base 158 to 311 matches the Rfam family "5.8S ribosomal RNA". Lineage: Eukaryota; Fungi; Ascomycota; Sordariomycetes; Hypocreales; Nectriaceae. The record is from RNAcentral.
GGACAUUACCGAGUUUACAACUCCCAAACCCCUGUGAACAUACCUAUACGUUGCCUCGGCGGAUCAGCCCGCGCCCCGUAAAAAGGGACGGCCCGCCCGAGGACCCCUAAACUCUGUUUUUAGUGGAACUUCUGAGUAAAACAAACAAAUAAAUCAAAACUUUCAACAACGGAUCUCUUGGUUCUGGCAUCGAUGAAGAACGCAGCAAAAUGCGAUAAGUAAUGUGAAUUGCAGAAUUCAGUGAAUCAUCGAAUCUUUGAACGCACAUUGCGCCCGCCAGUAUUCUGGCGGGCAUGCCUGUUCGAGCGUCAUUUCAACCCUCAAGCUCAGCUUGGUGUUGGGACUCGCGGUAACCCGCGUUCCCCAAAUCGAUUGGCGGUCACGUCGAGCUUCCAUAGCGUAGUAAUCAUACACCUCGUUACUGGUAAUCGUCGCGGCCACGCCGUAAAACCCCAACUUCUGAAUGUUGACCUCGGAUCAGGUAGGAAUACCCGCUGAACUUAAGCAUAUCAAUAAGCGGAGGGAAAAAACCAACCCACCC